This 577-nucleotide long non-coding RNA is filed under the name Homo sapiens (human). RNAcentral describes it as "non-protein coding lnc-STARD4-4:2". Lineage: Eukaryota; Metazoa; Chordata; Mammalia; Primates; Hominidae. The record is from RNAcentral.
AAUCUGUCUUUCUAGCAUGUUGCCCUUUUUCAACCACAUUUGUGUUUCAGGUGUAGAGAGGAGAGAGAGUGAACAGGGAGCGGGGCUUUUGUCUGUUUAUUACCCAGAACUCUUUGUCUGGGUCAGUCAAGAACCAUUUCCAAACAAGGACAUGGAGGGAAGGCUUCCUAAGGGAAGACUUCCUGUCCCAAAGGAAGUGAACCGCAAGAAGAACGAUGAGACAAACGCUGCCUCCCUGACUCCACUGGGCAGCAGUGAACUCCGCUCCCCAAGAAUCAGUUACCUCCACUUUUUUUAAUCGUAACACCUCCAUUUGUAUUACAUAUGGUGUAUGGGUAUUGAUGAGGUCAUGGUAUCAUAUAUGGGAUUUUUUUCUGUGUAAAUCAUCAAGUAUAAGAAGAAACUAUGGGACUCUGAGCCUUGCUUUAGAGAAUUUACAGUGGACAAAUAGGUGUCAUCAAACCAGUUUUUAAUCAUUCUGACUCAAGUGAAAACGCUCAGAAUUUCACACUGUGAAUCCACGUUUACAACCCUUACAGGUGGGCCUUCAGGCCUGGUUCGCUACAACAAUGUCUUC